Long non-coding RNA from Siniperca chuatsi (mandarin fish), 4215 nucleotides. RefSeq lists it as uncharacterized. The record is from RefSeq and is a predicted model, not a curated record. The transcript has 2 exons. Lineage: Eukaryota; Metazoa; Chordata; Actinopteri; Centrarchiformes; Sinipercidae.
AUCAGUCUCCAGCGCGCAUGUGCCCGCUUCUGCGAUCCAGUUUAUGGAAAUGGCGUGAAAUCUGGCCAACAAAAUAACAUAGAAAUGAAGGCUUCAGCGUUUAUUCUUGGCAGUGUGGAGGAGGCUUUGACACAGCAGUAACUGUUAAAUGCUCAGUAAGGGUCAGUUGACGAUCCCUCCUAAAAAUUGGUGGGUGACAAUGGUGAUGUUGUUUUAUCCAUCGAUGAUUGGGUUCUAACCCUGAAGUGGGAUGGGACUUAGGCUUUCUGUAGCUCGGAUAUAUGAAAUCGUUAUUCUUACAGCUUAAUUAUUAGCUCUCUCUAUACUUCCAUGCUUUGCAACCACAUGUGAAAAAUAAUGUCCACUCUGCUCAAGCAGAUCAACCGGGCGACGAAAACGAAGUUAGAGCGAUCCCUCUGUCUUCGUCUACACGAUCUGUGUGUCAAUUGACAGGCGCUUCCUGAUCCAUUGGAAUUACCGUUGACGCUGCCUGGACAGACAGUGAGGACGUCCUCCUCAUUUCUUACACUGUAAAUUUCAUCAAACAAUCACUCCUCGCGUACACAUUCUACAGGUACUAAAACGUUAACAAGACGAAUACAUUAAUCAUUUGACAUUUUAUCCAAGGGUGAAACAAAUCUCUCGACCACUUUGUUUUGCGCUUGAAUGAAACACCAGAGGAUGCGUUCAUUCAUAGCUACAAACCGACUCUACACCAAACAUGCAGGAUAAUCCUCGCACGAACACGGUCUCAUGCUUCAUCCUAUUCGAAUUAAUAGAAAUCCAACGGGAACGAAAGAUGAGUUGUGCAACAGCGCCAUCUGGUGGUGAAAGAGACGUUGUCAUUUCAAGUGACUGUUUUUACUUGAGUAGCCUAUAUUUUAAUUUUGAGGUAGACUACUGGCACUUUCUAGUAUUUCAAUGUUGGUCUAUGUCUAUGUAUUUGUAUUUUAGACCACAACAUAACCUUAGAUGUUUUUCUUCUGUCUUUCAGGGAGCCAGUUGUCUCCAGUCAUUCCCAUAUAGUCUGAAAAACAAUAAGCAGACAGUAGAUAAACCGCCACACGGAAGGUUAUCUGCUUCUAUGGAUGGCAAAGUUACAUAUUUGUUGUGUGGUAAUGCAAUGCAGACCUUUUUAAUUAAUUUGCACUGACAUAGGUGACCAGAAUACUGUUACUUUUAAAUAAUAUAAAACAAAUCAACAGUGUAACAAGACAGGCCUGGAGUUUGUUGUGAUGGAUUACACUAGCAGGUUUCAAAUCUCUGCAAUUUCAUUUCCAUGCUUUGUAAAGGGCUGAAGCUUGCAAAAACACUAGAUUUGAGUUUAAGGCAAACUAAAUGAAGUUUUGUAAUGGAGCGUAUUUUAACUUCGUAUGGCAGUUCUAUUAAUGUAAAAGUACUUUUCACACCACUGCAAAAUUAGAUGAUUAGGGAUUAAAAAUAUGGAUUUGUUUUUGCUGUUUGGCACACGAUGAUCACAGACUGAAGGUCGAGCUCACUUAUAGUAGCUUGUCAAUUUCGUCAAUGAAUUCCCAAGAGAAAAGACGAGGGACAAAACAACAUCAAAGCUGGAAAGUUUGCCGUUUGUGCGAGGACACAAGCUGUGUAAUUCCAGUCUGCUGGAGGCUUUAAUCAGACAGCGUCAGAGAGAUAUCUGCACAGUUGGUCCUGAUUUUCUGCAUCAUUCAGCUUUAAGGUAUCAAACAAACCACAACAGUUAGUUGUUAGUUCCUAACAACAUUUGUUUAAUGACAGGAGACAUAAACAAAACAGAACACACACGAUCUGAUGAUUAAGAACAUGCAAACUGGAAAUACAAAAAAACACAUGGAUUUUGACAUCUGUGUCAUUUUGAGACAGACACACAGUGCAGCAUCAUGGGACUGCUUAACAGUCUGUCAUCCUUAGAAAACAAACCAAACGGCAGAAGUGGUGCAAAAACUAAAAGCGACACUAUGGACACGUGAGGCAAAAAAAACUAAAUAAACAAACAGUAACAUGGAGCAUAGCCUGUUCAUUUUACACACAUGUACAUAAAUACAUAAGAGGCACAUCUGACAGGUAACCACCGACGGGGUGAUCAUUCAGUCAUGUUUUGGACGAUGUUGUCCUGUUGUCUUAAGUGAGAAGAUAAACCAAUCAUAUCAGCUUGUCGUUUCUAUCGGUUUACAAAUUCAGUGACCAAAAUAAAAUCUGUAUUUCCAGACAUAUUCCUGUUUCUCUACAAUAAUCAUGUGAUAAUUAACUGCUCGAAUGCGAGCUUGUUGGUUGGUGGAAAUGGUCAAAAGGAAGUAGCUUUAACCCUUAACGUGGAGAGAAAAUGCCACCAAAUACUAAACUACAAGAACAAAUAAACUGCAAAGGGGUGUCUGCAGAAGUCACACCGUUGGUCUGUGAACUGUGAACACUUUCAAUCACAGUGCGGAAUUAAAGGGUCCGAAGAUUAAGAGAUCACAACACUAGACAUACUCAGGGUUCCUACAUACUUUUCUCUCUGGGUGUUAUCCAGAGAGUCUUAUACAGUGUGUAGCUGAGGAUAACUAACUCCCCAGAAACAGUCAGUCAACAACUUUAACAGUGCAAUUUAGGUCGCACCAGGGUCAUAAUCUUUUUUCAUCAAUACUUUUGUCAAAUCCUACAGUUUUUUAAGACUUUGUAGUAACUUUCUUGACACUUGUAGGAACCCCGGACAUUACAAAAAUCCAUGAAACACCUCCAAUAAUAGUGGUUAACUCCACCGCCAACAUCCGCUUUAACUAAAGUCAGUAGCAUCAAUAACAACUCUUUCUUUGACAUUCCCAAGCUGCGACGUUCAAGACACUUAAGUAGAUCAGACAACAUUAAAUAAAGUGUGAUUAAGCCUGGUGAGAAAUUAAACACAAACUAGAUGAUUGUACCUUCCUCAAAAUAAUUUAUAAAUUCUGUCUGGUGAAGCUCCCAUGCGAUGAGAAGUUAAAUACACAAGUCAUUUGAGCAAGAGCACAGUGAGCGCUGGUUUCUUCUUUGUCAGAUCUACAUCAGAGCCUGGUGCUGAAAGCUGUAGCUUGUUAAAGACAGGGCACUGUCCGGUUUAUCAGUAGCAUGUGCUAUACCUCAGAUGUGAGACUUCAAUACUGUCCCUCCUACUGUCUUAAAGAGGUAAAUGUCUUAAGAGCCAAUUUCAUUGCCUUACUGCUAUGGCCAGGAAAAACACAGGGACCAUAAGCCUGUCUUGACUGAACAUUUGAAAAUGAUUACAGGCUUUGUCCUGCAAUCUUCUUCCACAAAAUAAACUGAUGUGGAGGAGCAAGAAUUGCAAUAUUUUUAAAUGCUGAGUUUUAACAACAUAUACGCCAAAUUUAUCAGUGGAUUCAAUUUAGAAAAAGGCCUACAGGCUUGUUCUGUGAGGUAUACAUGUUUUUAAAAUUGCCAGAAUUUGAAAUGAGGUUUUGUGUGGUGUUCUUGCUUGUAAGGUGGGAAUGUAAAAUUAGAAGUCCUGGGGCAAAGUCAGUUAAGUACCAAUAUAAUACUUAAUACAAUCUGUGUUGUUUUACUUCCUCUUAAGCAAAAAGCCAUAGCUGACUGCAAGCAUCAAAGUGAGACACCACAGCAUACAUGUGUCAAUUAAUAGCAUGUAUUGUUGUAUGAUGUCAAAUUUGGAUUUUUUUAAUAAUGAAAUUUAGAUUAAGUAGGUUAUGUUGUCUUGUACUACUAGACUAAUAUAUAGCUCCUAAAUUAUCGUAACACCACUAUGCCAAUGUGAACAGCUUACCUCAAUUACCAGGUAAGCCAUGGGGACAAAAACAAAAACAACCUAACUGGUCAUCACGGCAUCCAACUUUUAUCACAAAACUUUCUGAAGGAGGAAAGAAAAUGUGAGAAGAGUGGUGGGUCACAAAACAAACCAAAAAUAAAAAACCGUUUGAAGCGCCAUCAUCAUGUCUUAGAUAUGUCUUUAGCGAGGCUGUGGGUUUUCCCCUGGCUUCCUCCAGGGCUGCCGUACUGGCUCUGUGGCCUGGGGAUUGUGGAGCGGCCAGACGGGAGUCCUGCAGUUUUUUUUUUUUUUUUUUUUGUUUGUUUGUUUUUUUGUUGUUGUUGGGUUUUUUUUUUGUUUGUUUUUUUUAAAGGCCUUGAUCCUCCUUUCAGGGUCAGAAUCACAUAUUCUUCAGUGCGACACCAGUCCAGGGGGGGGGAUUCUUGGCAACAGGAGAGAGGAGGAGGAGAAGGGAGCAAAAG